CCUACGGGAGGCAGCAGUAGGGAAUCUUCCACAAUGGGCGAAAGCCUGAUGGAGCAACGCCGCGUGGGUGAAGAAGGUCUUCGGAUCGUAAAACCCUGUUGUUAGAGAAGAAAGUGCGUGAGAGUAACUGUUCACGUUUCGACGGUAUCUAACCAGAAAGCCACGGCUAACUACGUGCCAGCAGCCGCGGUAAUACGUAGGUGGCAAGCGUUAUCCGGAUUUAUUGGGCGUAAAUGGAACGCAGGCGGUCUUUUAAGUCUGAUGUGAAAGGCUUCGGCUUAACCGGAGUAGUGCAUGGGAAACUGGGAGACUUGAGUGCAGAAGAGGAGAGUGGAACUCCAUGUGUAGCGGUGAAAUGCGUAGAUAUAUGGAAGAACACCAGUGGCGAAAGCGGCUCUCUGGUCUGUAACUGACGCUGAGGUUCGAAAGCGUGGGUAGCAAACAGGAUUAGAUACCCUAGUAGUC
This 465-nucleotide ribosomal RNA is filed under the name uncultured bacterium. RNAcentral describes it as "partial 16S ribosomal RNA". It matches the Rfam family "Bacterial small subunit ribosomal RNA", at positions 338 to 795 of the family's 1533-position model. The record is from RNAcentral.